This 460-nucleotide ribosomal RNA is filed under the name uncultured Methanolinea sp. RNAcentral's name for it is "bacterial SSU rRNA". It matches the Rfam family "Archaeal small subunit ribosomal RNA", at positions 879 to 1338 of the family's 1478-position model. The record is from RNAcentral. Lineage: Archaea; Methanobacteriati; Methanobacteriota; Methanomicrobia; Methanomicrobiales; Methanoregulaceae.
CCACAACAGGUGGAGCCUGCGGUUUAAUCGGACUCAACGCCAGGAAGCUCACCGGAUAAGACAGCGGAAUGAUAGCCGGGCUGAAGACUCUGCUUGACUAGCUGAGAGGAGGCGCAUGGCCGUCGUCAGUUCGUACUGUGAAGCAUCCUGUUAAGUCAGGCAACGAGCGAGACCCACGCCAACAGUUGCCAGCAUGUCCUCCGGGAUGGUGGGGACACUGUUGGGACCGCCUCUGCUAAAGAGGAGGAAGGAAUGGGCAACGGUAGGUCAGCAUGCCCCGAAUUAUCCGGGCUACACGCGGGCUACAAUGGUCAGGACAAUGGGCAUCAACACCGAAAGGUGAAGGCAAUCUCUUAAACCUGUCCUUAGUUCGGAUUGUGGGCUGCAACUCGCCCACAUGAAGCUGGAAUCUGUAGUAAUCGCGUCUCAAAAUGGCGCGGUGAAUAUGUCCCUGCUCCUU